UCUCUCUCUCUCUCUCUCUCUCUCUCUCUCUCUCUCUCUCUGUGUGUGUGUGUGUGUGUGUGUGUGAGAGAGAGAGAGAGAGAGAGAGAGAGAGAGAGAGAGA
This is a non-coding RNA of Podarcis lilfordi (Lilford's wall lizard), 103 nucleotides long. NCBI's taxonomy places the organism in Eukaryota, Metazoa, Chordata, Lepidosauria, Squamata, Lacertidae. The record is from the annotation of a GenBank genome assembly.